GACUGUCAAGUGUUUUUGUCGAUGUCUUAGUGCAUUGACUUAAUGCUCACAAAGGGCUGGUGAGGUGGGUGUUGCCAUUACCCACCUCUCACACAUCUGACCCCCCAGCCCCCUCCGCGCUCUAGAGACGCACCUCUUACCGGCUUCGGAGGUGACUGUGCCUGUAGGGAAUUCUCAGCAUCUAGGUUUGCUUUGUGAGGGAACAGAAGGAGGCUUCUGGUUAAAAAGGAGAAUUGGGUGGGAAGGAGCGUGUGGAGGUCGGUGGAGAAGGGAGAAGAUCCACGCCCCUGAGGGGAAUAUCUGGGUGGAUACUGCUGACCAGAUAAGGAGCCACAGCAGCACUUCAAGGACUUCCACAUGGUUUCUGGCAGCAGCACAGACCACAGAUAUCUGUAAGGCAACACAGCUCUCGGCAGUAGAAUAGUCCACCAACACCAUCAUGGUCCCUGGUUUUGGAGAUGGUCUGAAAAUGGAGCACUGACUGUUCUAGAAUUCCCUAUGUAAACCUGACCUUGAACGCACAGA
Molecule: long non-coding RNA, 525 nt
Organism: Mus musculus (house mouse)
Lineage: Eukaryota; Metazoa; Chordata; Mammalia; Rodentia; Muridae
Product: predicted gene, 30840
Exons: 2
Source: RefSeq, a predicted model, not a curated record